Molecule: small RNA, 3056 nt
Filed under: Pongo abelii (Sumatran orangutan)
Lineage: Eukaryota; Metazoa; Chordata; Mammalia; Primates; Hominidae
Description: retained intron
Source: RNAcentral
GGCGUGGGCGGGCUGAAGGGGGAUGGCCUCAGGCUGAAAUCCAAGGAGGCUCGGGAGUCCAGAACCUUGGAGGACAUGCUUUGCUUCACCAAGACUCCCCUCCAGGAAUCCCUCAUCGAACUCAGCGACAGCAGCCUCAACAAGAUGGCCACCGACAUGUUCCUAGGUGUGGGAGUGGGACUGCAGCCAGGGCUCUGGGCUAGGGGGGAUCCAGCACUGUGUGAUCCCUACUGGUCGCCACUCCUCCCUGAUCUUCAGAUUCUUUCCCUCCCGCCAGCUCAGACAUGGGACACAUUUAAGAGAAUAGAAGCUCCCAGCUGCCUGUGGCCAAGGCUCCCAGGGAGGGGCUCAGCCCUGGGGCUUCCUGGGGUGGGGGGGCAACUGGGGGUUUGGUGGGUCUGAGUGGGAUAGGUCUUUCCUACAGCUGUAAUGAAGUUCAUGGGGGAUGCCCCACUGAAGGGCCAGAGUGACCUGGAUGUGCUUUGUAACCUCCUGAAGGUCAGUCCAGCCAACUUUGCCAGAGGCCCCAUUUCCUGCUCUGUGGCUCAGUUUCCCCAUCUGUCAAUGAGUCACAGGAUAUUAGGGCGGGAAACCUCUCCCAUGGUCCAAACAGGAAUGCAUCAUGCUGGUGGGGAGGGGGCUGGGAAAGGGACACCAGGCCUAUCUUCAGGUGCCCACCCUGUUCUUAUGUACCUGGUAUAUGACAUAGCCCCUAGCAUGUCUUUGGUGUGUGACCUCCCUGCUCUCCUUCAGCUGUGCGGGGACCAUGAGGUCAUGCGGGAUGAAUGUUACUGCCAAGUUGUGAAGCAGAUCACAGACAAUACCAGCUCCAAGCAGGACAGCUGCCAGCGAGGCUGGAGGCUGCUGUAUAUCGUGACUGCCUACCACAGCUGCUCUGAGGUCCUCCACCCACACCUCACUCGCUUCCUCCAAGACAUGAGCCGGACCCCAGGCCUGCCCUUUCAGGGGAUCGCCAAGGCCUGUGAGCAGAACCUGCAGAAAACCUUGCGCUUUGGAGGUCGUCUGGAGCUCCCCAGCAGCAUAGAGCUUCGGGCCAUGUUGGCAGGCCGCAGUUCCAAGAGGCAACUCUUUCUUCUUCCUGGAGGCCUUGAACGCCAUCUCAAAAUCAAAACAUGCACUGUGGCCCUGGACGUGGUGGAAGAGAUAUGUGCUGAGAUGGCUCUGACACGCCCUGAGGCCUUCAAUGAAUAUGUUAUCUUCGUUGUCACCAACCGGGGCCAGCAUGUGUGCCCACUCAGUCGCCGUGCUUACAUCCUGGAUGUGGCCUCAGAGAUGGAGCAGGUGGACGGCGGCUACAUGCUCUGGUUCCGGCGUGUGCUCUGGGAUCAGCCACUCAAGUUCGAGAAUGAGCUAUACGUGACCAUGCACUACAACCAGGUCCUGCCUGAGUACCUGAAGGGACUCUUCAGCAGCGUGCCGGCCAGCCGGCCCAGCGAGCAGCUGCUGCAGCAGGUGUCCAAGCUGGCUUCACUGCAGCAUCGCGCCAAGGACCACUUCUACCUGCCGAGCAUGCGGGAAGUCCAAGAGUACAUCCCAGCCCAGCUCUACCGUACAACGGCAGGCUCGACCUGGCUCAACCUGGUCAGCCAGCACCGGCAGCAGACACAGGCGCUCAGCCCCCACCAGGCCCGUGCCCAGUUUCUGGAGCUGCAGCAACAUUGCUGUGCCAGCCCCUUGCAUCCUUGCCGUCAACCACAAUGGCCUCAACUUUCUCAGCACAGAGACUCAUGUGAGUGGCCUCAGCCUGGCACUGCCAUCGCCACCCUCUGUUCCCUGGUCCCCUACCCCCUCCAAGGGGCCAAGACCUCCAGCCGCCGAAGCCCAGUUCCACUGCUUACCACCUUCAUGAUCUCAGGAAUUGAUGGUGAAGUUCCCCCUGAAGGAGAUCCAGUCGACGCGGACCCAGCGGCCCACGGCCAACUCCAGCUACCCCUACGUGGAGAUUGCGCUGGGGGACAUGGCGGCCCAGCGCGCCUUGCAGCUGCAGCUGGAGCAGGGACUGGAACUGUGUCGUGUGGUGGCCGUGCAUGUGGAGAACCUGCUCAGUGCCCAUGAGAAGCGGCUCACAUUGCCCCCCAGCGAGAUCACCCUGCUCUGACCCAGCCCCCAGCCCUCCAGUACUUCUGCCAGAAGCCUCACUGUGUGGCCUCAGAGAAAUCACUGGACCUCUCAGGAUCAAUGACCCCUGUAAGGGGCCAGAGCCGUGGAGGACACUAAGAGGAGGCAGGAAGAGCAACUCAAAUACCCAAGAACACAAGAAGACCCAUCCUGAAUUGGGAUGGAAUGGCAGCAUGCAGACUUGGGUCAGAUAGCAGGAGGAACUUUCAAAAGUCUGGCCCACUGUGCAGUGGAGCAGAAGGCAGGACUGUGAGGCCUUCUGCCAUGUACCGAUUGCAGACCCUGCCCCUAACUCCUGCCUAUGACACAGAAGCCCCACACCAGUUGCCUAGAUGAACUGGACUCUGCCUUUGGUUUACUCAGGGUCUGAUGUUGGAAUCUGCCGCAACUGCACACCCCAGCCCCUACAUGUCCUCCUAAGGGGCCCCUCCUUGUGCUGCCAGUCAGCCUGGAUUUCUGGUCGUUGGUUAUUUCUGUGCAAACAAAAGGUGUGCCUGGCAGCCAUUUCUCCAUGGAGUUGCUAAGUGGCUGGAAAACAAGCCUGAGGGAGGAGGCAAGAGUUGGAGUUACCUUAGGCCCCCGAUUCACUGCCUACGAACAGAAACAGACCAUCCCCCACUCCUUGGGUAUCCCCAACCCCAGACCCCCAUCACUUGAUGGGCCACACAAGUUUGAGAGUGGUACAAGGGAGAAGUUUGGGAAAAGCCUUCUUGGAAAAUGGGACAUUAGCAUUGAGUUUUGAAAGAUGAGUAGGAGUUUGCUAAGAAUAGAUGGAAGACAGCGGGAUAAACAUUCCAGAGAAAAUCGUGUUUGUUCCCUGCUGUAUCUUCCAGAACCUAGGAGGAUGCCUAACAGAGAGUAAGCACUUAAAAAAUAUUUGUCAUAUGAAUGAAAAAAUAAACGAAUCAAUGUUGAUA